This 476-nucleotide ribosomal RNA is filed under the name uncultured bacterium. Its description in RNAcentral is "SSU rRNA". It matches the Rfam family "Bacterial small subunit ribosomal RNA", at positions 26 to 518 of the family's 1533-position model. The record is from RNAcentral.
AGGACGAACGCUGGCGGCGUGCUUAACACAUGCAAGUCGAGCGGAAAGGCCCUUCGGGGUACUCGAGCGGCGAACGGGUGAGUAACACGUGAGUAAUCUGCCCCUAGCUUUGGGAUAGCUCCGGGAAACCGGGAUUAAUACCGAAUACGACCACUUUAGACAUCUUUUGUGGUGGAAAGAAUUUCGGCUAGGGAUGAGCUCGCGGCCUAUCAGCUUGUUGGUGGGGUAACGGCCUACCAAGGCGACGACGGGUAGCCGGCCUGAGAGGGCGACCGGCCGACACUGGGACUGAGACACGGCCCAGACUCCUACGGGAGGCAGCAGUGGGGAAUAUUGCGCAAUGGGCGAAAGCCUGACGCAGCGACGCCGCGUGGGGGAUGAAGGCCUUCGGGUUGUAAACCCCUUUCAGCAGGGACGAAGCGAAAGUGACGGUACCUGCAGAAGAAGACGCCGGCUAACUACGUGCCAGCAGCCGC